GGAAGUGAACCAUCUCAGUACCCGGAGGAGAAGAAAACAAGACAGUGAUUCCGUAAGUAGUGGCGAGCGAACGCGGAAGAGCCCAAACCAUUGUUAUGUAAGGUUGCAGCCGUUGUAACAGUGGGGUUGUAGGAUAAGACCUGAGAGUACUGCGAUACUUUCAAGGAGUAAGAAACCUGAAUUUUAGCUGAAGAGUUUUGGAACAGCUCAUCGAAGAAGGUGAAAAUCCUGUAGGCGAAAGGAUUCAGGCUCCUGGUUUUAGACCUGAGUACGGCGGGACACGAGAAACCCUGUCGGAAGCUGGGGGGACCAUCUCCCAAGGCUAAAUACUCCUGACUGACCGAUAGUGAACCAGUACCGUGAGGGAAAGGUGAAAAGAACUCCUGCUAGGAGAGUGAAAUAGUACCUGAAACCGUAUAUCUACAAGCAGUGGGAGCACUAUGUUGAUCUUCGGGUUGACGGUGCGACCGCGUGCCUUUUGCAUAAUGAGCCGGCUAGUU
RNAcentral lists this ribosomal RNA (500 nucleotides) under uncultured Gammaproteobacteria bacterium. RNAcentral describes it as "bacterial LSU rRNA". It matches the Rfam family "Bacterial large subunit ribosomal RNA", at positions 189 to 629 of the family's 2925-position model. Lineage: Bacteria; Pseudomonadati; Pseudomonadota; Gammaproteobacteria. The record is from RNAcentral.